Molecule: long non-coding RNA, 349 nt
Organism: Lagenorhynchus albirostris (white-beaked dolphin)
Lineage: Eukaryota; Metazoa; Chordata; Mammalia; Artiodactyla; Delphinidae
Exons: 2
Source: RefSeq, a predicted model, not a curated record
CCGCGAACCGGAGCCCAGCGGCGGAAUCCCACCAGCGCGGCCGAACCGGGCGGCGGCGGCGGCGGCGGCGGCAAUGCUCCCGAGCGCAGCACUUCCGGCCGCGGGCCCUCGGCAGCCUGCAGUGGGACAUAGCCGGCGGAAGGUCAUGGCUGGGCCGGGGCGCUUUCCUGGCGUGGGGGUGGAGGACCUGGGAGUGCUGACCUUUAACUUCCCAGCUACACUGAAAGCUCCAUGAGAAGAAAAUGGCUGCCUUUUUCACUGCUCUACCCUCAGGACCUUGUGUCUGGCACAAGUAGAUGAACAGUCAAUAUAAAUGUAUUGAAUGAAUGAAUAAAUGAAUAAGAAAAUA